UACGUAGGGUGCAAGCGUUGUCCGGAAUUAUUGGGCGUAAAGAGCUCGUAGGCGGUUUGUCGCGUCUGCUGUGAAAACCUAGGGCUUAACCCUGGGCCUGCAGUGGAUACGGGCAGACUAGAGGUAGGUAGGGGAGAAUGGAAUUCCCGGUGUAGCGGUGAAAUGCGCAGAUAUCGGGAGGAACACCGGUGGCGAAGGCGGGUCUCUGGGCCGUAACUGACGCUGAGGAGCGAAAGCGUGGGGAGCGAACAGG
RNAcentral lists this ribosomal RNA (253 nucleotides) under uncultured bacterium. RNAcentral's name for it is "partial 16S ribosomal RNA". It matches the Rfam family "Bacterial small subunit ribosomal RNA", at positions 524 to 776 of the family's 1533-position model. The record is from RNAcentral.